UGGUCUCACCUUUCUGCAGCGGCAUCCCUGCCUCCGCCAGCAGGCCCUUGUACAAGUCAGACUUCAGGAACCUGGGGAGCAAGGAACACGGAAACACAGGCUGCGGUUUCUGAACACCACCCUUGGAAAGGGCCACGGCUCCCGUGGAAACGGCCGCCUCCAGGCCUGGGCAGGACAAGCCGGGGACGACUGGGAGCAGGGGAGCCACCGCGGUGUGCUGGGGACAUGUCAGAUGACUGGGAGCCAGAGGGCCACUGUGGGGCCAUGUGCACACCACCUAGGAAGGACUGAACACGGGGACUGAAACACAUCCGAUACGGUGACGUCUGUGAUUUUAUGAUGGUGGUAAAUGAAGGUGUCAAGCACCUGCCUUUCCCCCGCAGUCUGCCCCACUGGACGCCCAGAGAGCAGGUGAGGGAGGCGUCUCAUGGAACCAUCCCGCCAGUACAGAGGCAGGGGUGGAACUAGAACGUGCCCCCGUUGCAGUCACAGCAAAAGCGCAGUGGCUGCUUGCGCCACGAAAGGAGAGGCAGCUGCACUUCACGUAUCCUGAUGGAAGAUGCCAAACACCAUCUCAACAAAACCAGGUAAACAAGUCACAAACCCUGGAGGUGAAUCUGACCAAGCCUUAAAUGUAACUGCCA
Long non-coding RNA from Lemur catta (Ring-tailed lemur), 644 nucleotides. RefSeq lists it as uncharacterized. Lineage: Eukaryota; Metazoa; Chordata; Mammalia; Primates; Lemuridae. The record is from RefSeq and is a predicted model, not a curated record. The transcript is spliced from 4 exons.